UGGCUGGGGGUGAAAGGCCAAUCAAACCGGGAGAUAGCUGGUUCUCCCCGAAAGCUAUUUAGGUAGCGCCUCGUGAAUUCAUCUCCGGGGGUAGAGCACUGUUUCGGCUAGGGGGCCAUCCCGGCUUACCAACCCGAUGCAAACUGCGAAUACCGGAGAAUGUUAUCACGGGAGACACACGGCGGGUGCUAACGUCCGUCGUGAAGAGGGAAACAACCCAGACCGCCAGCUAAGGUCCCAAAGUCAUGGUUAAGUGGGAAACGAUGUGGGAAGGCCCAGACAGCCAGGAUGUUGGCUUAGAAGCAGCCAUCAUUUAAAGAAAGCGUAAUAGCUCACUGGUCGAGUCGGCCUGCGCGGAAGAUGUAACGGGGCUAAACCAU
RNAcentral lists this ribosomal RNA (380 nucleotides) under Salmonella enterica. Its description in RNAcentral is "partial 23S ribosomal RNA". It matches the Rfam family "Bacterial large subunit ribosomal RNA", at positions 812 to 1190 of the family's 2925-position model. RNAcentral also lists the same sequence under 1 other name. The record is from RNAcentral. Lineage: Bacteria; Pseudomonadati; Pseudomonadota; Gammaproteobacteria; Enterobacterales; Enterobacteriaceae.